GACCAGACUCCUACGGGAGGCAGCAGUGGGGGAUAUUGCACAAUGGGGGAAACCCUGAUGCAGCGACGCCGCGUGGGCGAAGAAGUAUUUCGGUAUGUAAAGCCCUAUCAGCAGGGAAGAAGAAAUGACGGUACCUGAAGAAGAAGCCCCGGCUAACUACGUGCCAGCAGCCGCGGUAAUACGUAGGGGGCAAGCGUUAUCCGGAUUUACUGGGUGUAAAGGGGGCGCAGACGGCGAUGCAAGCCAGGAGUGAAAGCCCGGGGCCCAACCCCGGGACUGCUCUUGGAACUGCGUGGCUGGAGUGCAGGAGGGGCAGGCGGAAUUCCUGGUGUAGCGGUGAAAUGCGUAGAUAUAAGGAAGAACACCAGUGGCGAAGGCGGAUGACUGGACGGCAACUGACGGUGAGGCGCGAAAGCGUGGGGAGCAAACAGGAUUAGAUACCCCUGUAU
This 449-nucleotide ribosomal RNA is filed under the name uncultured bacterium. Its description in RNAcentral is "partial 16S ribosomal RNA". It matches the Rfam family "Bacterial small subunit ribosomal RNA", at positions 329 to 793 of the family's 1533-position model. The record is from RNAcentral.